This is a long non-coding RNA of Hyaena hyaena (striped hyena), 190 nucleotides long. RefSeq lists it as uncharacterized. NCBI's taxonomy places the organism in Eukaryota, Metazoa, Chordata, Mammalia, Carnivora, Hyaenidae. The record is from RefSeq and is a predicted model, not a curated record. The transcript has 3 exons.
CAGAUGGACGUUAGGUAAAUAUUCUUUACCAGAGGUUCAGCUGAAUAAACUAAGGCUAGGAAUGAUGAAGAAGAAGAAAGGUAGAAGUAAUCCAUGUUCCUUAGUGGCCACUGAAGCAGAUGGCUAAACUAAUCUGGAAUGAUGAAUAUAUGCAACCCAAGGCUUCUGUAACUUUAGCAAGUAUGUGGCU